GAUGAACGCUAGCGGCAGGCCUAAUACAUGCAAGUCGGACGGGAUUCAGGAGCUUGCUUCUGAUGAGAGUGGCGCACGGGUGCGUAACACGUAUGUAACCUACCUUUAUCAGGGGGAUAGCCUCUCGAAAGAGAGAUUAAGCCCGCAUAAAAUCACAGCACAGCAUUGUGUAAUGAUCAAAUAUUUAUAGGAUAAAGAUGAGCAUGCGGAACAUUAGCUAGAUGGCGGGGUAACGGCCCACCAUGGCGACGAUGUUUAGGGGAUCUGAGAGGAUGGCCCCCCACACUGGUACUGAGACACGGACCAGACUCCUACGGGAGGCAGCAGUAAGGAAUAUUGGUCAAUGGGCGGAAGCCUGAACCAGCCAUGCCGCGUGCAGGAAGACGGCCCUACGGGUUGUAAACUGCUUUUAUACGGGAAUAAACCCAGAUACGUGUAUCUGGCUGAAUGUACUGUAAGAAUAAGGAUCGGCUAACUCCGUG
This 482-nucleotide ribosomal RNA is filed under the name uncultured bacterium. Its description in RNAcentral is "partial 16S ribosomal RNA". It matches the Rfam family "Bacterial small subunit ribosomal RNA", at positions 28 to 507 of the family's 1533-position model. The record is from RNAcentral.